This 867-nucleotide ribosomal RNA is filed under the name Triticum aestivum (bread wheat). Its description in RNAcentral is "partial small subunit ribosomal RNA". Lineage: Eukaryota; Viridiplantae; Streptophyta; Magnoliopsida; Poales; Poaceae. The record is from RNAcentral.
AUGACUUCGAUCAUAAGUUUACCCGUGGGUGAUGAGGUCAAAGUUACACAGAAGGGUGAUGAUGUACACUCGAGUGCGAUAAUUAAAUCUACGCUCUACAGUGCACAUGGUGGAAGAAACCAUCUAUGUGCAAUAAUGUCGAAGAUCGCAGUCGAGUUAGCUAUACAGAUCGUGUGCUGUGAGAUCGACAAGAUCCCCAUCCCCAUCCCCACCCCCACUCCAGAGCAUCGCAGCCUAAGCCCAGCUACGCUUCCCGUGGAUCUCGAGGAGCGACUGGCCCAAAAGAGGUGUAUAGCUGUCCCUUUGCCCGACGUCGCCGAGGAAGCUGACGACCAUUACUGGUGGCAGGCACUCAAGCUGCGGGCUAGAGUAUGCGGGCAUGUCUCGGACGCCGGCUACGACAUCGAGGUCAUCGACAGCGACGGCCUGAGGCGGGCUAUGUCACAGGACACGUUCUGCGACGCUGGCUUGGGAUCCACAGCUUCCAAGCCAGACCUCAUCGACGGCGACCACGAGGAGGGCACCCUCUCCGGCUCUUCCAAGGGGAAAGAGCCCAUCUGCUCUUCCAAGGGAAAAGCGCUCGUCCGCGACAUCAGGGAGGGCACCCUACAGCCGUGCACUUCCCACAGGAACGAGCCCAUAUGUGACAAGGACGUGGUGCUCUACGCGCUCAGCGUGGGGGCCUGCGGCGCGGACGCCGUCGACGAAAAGGAGCUCGACCUCGUGCACCACAGGGAUGGCCAGCGCCACAUCAAGGUCCCCCGCCCCUUCUCUCCCUCUCCCGAUCUGAUCCCCUCUCGUUUCUGCGCCAAUUGGUUGCAGCGACUUGGAUUCCCAAAUCGUAUCAAUUCGGGCCGCUGGAAUUGA